Neolamprologus brichardi is the source of this 211-nucleotide non-coding RNA. Lineage: Eukaryota; Metazoa; Chordata; Actinopteri; Cichliformes; Cichlidae. The record is from RefSeq and is a predicted model, not a curated record.
AGAUAACCACAUACUGUGACAUCAUAAGGUCAGACUGUCAAGAGCAGCCAAUCAGAUGGAGCACAGAGACUGAUUCAGCUGCAGGUCAUUCAACAGUGAGAACGGAAGAUGUCAGUUAUGCGGAAAUCAUCAUAAAAGACACGGGAAACAGGUCAAAGAGAGAGUUUCAGCCAGAGCCAAAUGUCAUCUACUCCACAGUGAAGUAAUCCAC